CCUACGGGUGGCAGCAGUGAGGAAUAUUGGUCAAUGGCCGAGAGGCUGAACCAGCCAAGUCGCGUGAGGAAGACGGCCCUACGGGUUGUAAACCUCUUUUGUCGGGGAGCAAAGAGAGUCACGUGUGACUCAUUGAGAGUACCCGAAGAAAAAGCAUCGGCUAACUCCGUGCCAGCAGCCGCGGUAAUACGGAGGAUGCGAGCGUUAUCCGGAUUGAUGGGGUUAAAGGGGUGCGCAGGCGGAGGUGCAAGUCAGCGGUAAAAUUGCGGGGCUCAACCCCGUCGAGCCGUUGAAACUGGCAGACUUGAGUUGGCGAGAAGUACGCGGAAUGUGCGGUGUAGCGGUGAAAUGCAUAGAUAUCGCGCAGAACUCCGAUUGCGAAGGCAGCGUACCGGCGCCAGACUGACGCUGAGGCACGAAAGCGUGGGGAUCGAACAGGAUUAGAUACCCUUGUAGUC
This 458-nucleotide ribosomal RNA is filed under the name uncultured bacterium. RNAcentral describes it as "partial 16S ribosomal RNA". It matches the Rfam family "Bacterial small subunit ribosomal RNA", at positions 338 to 795 of the family's 1533-position model. The record is from RNAcentral.